AGAUGCCUGGAUUGUUCGAUAAUCUUGCAUCUUUUGAACCUACAUGAUGACGAUUGGGACUCCUAUAUUUUCAGGUGGCUGUCAUGCCUCCUCCGAGUGGACGGCAAAAGCCUGAGUGCGGAAACCCGCUUAGCGAAGGCUAGGCGUCAAAAAAGCAGGAAACGGCAAUCCGGGUUUCUU
RNAcentral lists this non-coding RNA (180 nucleotides) under Lachnospiraceae bacterium. Its description in RNAcentral is "6S RNA". It matches the Rfam family "6S / SsrS RNA". From Rfam's summary of the family: E. coli 6S RNA was the first non coding RNA to be sequenced, but its function was unknown until recently. It consists of 184 nucleotides that fold into an extended hairpin structure with a large single-stranded internal bulge. The record is from RNAcentral. Lineage: Bacteria; Bacillati; Bacillota; Clostridia; Lachnospirales; Lachnospiraceae.